This 450-nucleotide ribosomal RNA is filed under the name uncultured bacterium. Its description in RNAcentral is "partial 16S ribosomal RNA". It matches the Rfam family "Bacterial small subunit ribosomal RNA", at positions 354 to 796 of the family's 1533-position model. The record is from RNAcentral.
GUGGGGAAUCUUCCGCAAUGGACGAAAGUCUGACGGAGCGACGCCGCGUGAGUGAAGAAGGCCUUCGGGUCGUAAAGCUCUGUCAUCAGGGACGAAUGGCCGGUGGAGUGGAAAGCCACCGGAUUGACGGUACCUGAGAAGGAAGCCACGGCUAACUACGUGCCAGCAGCCGCGGUAAUACGUAGGUGGCAAGCGUUGUCCGGAAUUAUUGGGCGUAAAGCGCGCGCAGGUGGGAUCUUAAGUCCAUUUUGAAAGUUCGGAGCUCAACUCCGUGAUGGGAUGGAAACUGGGAUUCUUGAGUACCGGAGAGGAAAGCGGAAUUCCCCGUGUAGCGGUGAAAUGCGUAGAUAUGGGGAGGAACACCAGUGGCGAAGGCGGCUUUCUGGACGGUGUCUGACACUGAGGCGCGAAAGCCAGGGGAGCGAACGGGAUUAGAUACCCGAGUAGUCC